UUCCUGACAGGCUGGAAAAACCUGCCAGACAAGCUGGAACCACCACCCGGACUUGCCGAAACCACCAACCACACACAACGGAAUCAGGUCCCGGACAGGCGAGAAUCACCAGUCGGACAUGCGGGAACCAACUGCUAGACGCCCCAGAAGCAACCACUGGAUACGUCAGAACCACCUUCCGGACAUACCAGAAACUCAUUCAAGACACAUGUGAAACCCCUUGCCUGACACGCUGGAACCACCUGAAUGACAUGCUGGUACCACUGUCCAGACCUGCUGGAAAUACCUGUCAGACAAACUGAACCACCUGCCAGACAAGACUGAACCACUUUAUGGACAUUCUGGAAGCACAUGCCGGGCAUGCUGGAACCAGGUGCCUGACAUGCCAGAACCACCUGCUGGACAUGCCUGAGCCACCUGCCAGACUUGCGUGAACCACUUGCUAGACAUGCAGGAACCACCUGCUGGAUACAUCAGAAAAUGGUGUCUCACACACUGAAAUCAGGUGCUGGACAUGACUGAACCACCUGCUGGAUACGCUGGCGCCACCUACCAGAUACACCAGAAACAAGUGUCGCACAUGCCAGAACCAGGUGCUGGACAAGACUGAACCACCUGCCGGACAAGCCUGAGCCACCAGCCAGCCAUGCUGUAACCACCUUCAGGAUGCGCUGGAACCAUCACGUGGACAUGCCGGAACCACCUACUGGAAGCACCAGAACCAGGAACCUAUAUGCAGGGAAACCUGCCAGACAUUCUGGAACCAGAAGCUGGACACACUGGAACAACCAGACAUGCCAGAACCACCCUCAAGACACGCCAGAACCAAUGGCCGGACACACCAGAAGCACCCACCCAACACGCCCAACCACCUUCUGAACAUACCAGAACCACAUGCCAAACUCGCCGGAACCACGGGUUGGAUAUGCCAGAACGAGGUGCUGGAUACACUGAAACCACCUGCCGAAAAUGCCAAAACCAGUUGCCAGACACGGCUGAAAAACCUGCCGGCCACCUCCAAAUCACCUGCUGGAUAUGCUGAAACCAUCUGCCGGACACACUGGAACCACCUCUUGGACAUGCCGAAACCAUCUGCCAGACACGCCAGAAACAGGUCCAGCACAGGCCAGAACCAGGUGCUGGACAAGCCUGAAGCAGCUGCUGGACUAGCCUGAACCACCUGCUGGACCAGCCUGAACCACUUUAAGGACAUUCUGGGACCACAUGCUGGGCACACUGUAACCAGGUGCCCAACAUGCCAGAACCACCUGCUGGACACGCCUGACACACCUGCCAGGCUUGCAUGAACCACCUUCUGGACACGCCAGAACCACCUGUCGGAUACAACAGAAACAGGUGUUGCACAUGUCAAAACCAUGUGCUGGACAUGCCUGAACCACCUGCCAGACUUGCAUGAACCAACUGCUGGACAUGCUGGAACCAACUGCCAGAUAUGC
RNAcentral lists this long non-coding RNA (1457 nucleotides) under Equus caballus (horse). RNAcentral describes it as "lncRNA (ENSECAG00000033132.3)". Lineage: Eukaryota; Metazoa; Chordata; Mammalia; Perissodactyla; Equidae. The record is from RNAcentral.